RNAcentral lists this ribosomal RNA (487 nucleotides) under uncultured bacterium. Its description in RNAcentral is "partial 16S ribosomal RNA". It matches the Rfam family "Bacterial small subunit ribosomal RNA", at positions 29 to 507 of the family's 1533-position model. The record is from RNAcentral.
AUGAACGCUAGCGGCAGGCCUAAUACAUGCAAGUCGGACGGGAUCCAUUGAUAGCUUGCUAUCAAUGGUGAGAGUGGCGCACGGGUGCGUAACGCGUGAGCAACCUGCCUCCAUCAGGGGGAUAGCCUCUCGAAAGAGAGAUUAACACCGCAUAAUAUCAACAGUUCGCAUGUUCAGUUGAUUAAAUAUUUAUAGGAUGGAGAUGGGCUCGCGUGACAUUAGCUAGUUGGUAGGGUAACGGCUUACCAAGGCGACGAUGUCUAGGGGCUCUGAGAGGAGAAUCCCCCACACUGGUACUGAGACACGGACCAGACUCCUACGGGAGGCAGCAGUAAGGAAUAUUGGUCAAUGGGCGGAAGCCUGAACCAGCCAUGCCGCGUGCAGGAUGACUGCCCUAUGGGUUGUAAACUGCUUUUGUCCAGGAAUAAACCUAAAUACGAGUAUUUAGCUGAAUGUACUGGAAGAAUAAGGAUCGGCUAACUCCGUG